Molecule: ribosomal RNA, 492 nt
Filed under: uncultured bacterium
Lineage: Bacteria
Description: partial 16S ribosomal RNA
Rfam family: Bacterial small subunit ribosomal RNA
Source: RNAcentral
AGUGAACGCUGGCGGUAGGCCUAACACAUGCAAGUCGAACGGCAGCACAGUAAGAGCUUGCUCUUACGGGUGGCGAGUGGCGGACGGGUGAGGAAUACAUCGGAAUCUACUUUUUCGUGGGGGAUAACGUAGGGAAACUUACGCUAAUACCGCAUACGACCUACGUGUGACAUCAGGGGAUCUUCGGACCUUGCGCGAUUGAAUGAGCCGAUGUCGGAUUAGCUCGUUGGCGGGGUAAAGGCCCACCAUGCCGACGAUCCGUCGCUGGUCUGAGAGGAUGAUCAGCCACACUGGAACGGAGACACGGUCCAGACUCCUACGGGAGGCAGCAGUGGGGAAUAUUGGACAAUGGGCGCAAGCCUGAUCCAGCCAUACCGCGUGGGUGAAGAAGGCCUUCGUGUUGUAAAGCCCUUUUGUUGGGAGAGAAAAGCAGCAGGUUAAUACCCCGCUGUUCUGACGGUACCCAAAGAAUAAGCACCGGCUAACUUCGUG